Molecule: ribosomal RNA, 468 nt
Filed under: uncultured bacterium
Lineage: Bacteria
Description: partial 16S ribosomal RNA
Rfam family: Bacterial small subunit ribosomal RNA
Source: RNAcentral
GACGAACGCUGGCGGCGUGCUUAACACCUGCAAGUCGAACGGAAAGGCCCUGCUUUUGUGGGGUGCUCGAGGGGCGAAGGGGUGUGAAACACGUGAGUAACCUGCCCUUGAUUGUGGGAUAACUUCAGGAAACUGGGGCUAAUACCGGAUAGGAGCUCCUGCUGCAGGGGGGGGGUUGGAAAGUUUGGGCGGGUGGGGAUGGACUCGCGGCUUAUUAGCUUGUUGGUGGGGUAGUGGCUUACCAAGGCGUGGGCGGGCGGCCGGCCUGGGAGGGUGGCCGGCCACAUUGGGACUGAGGUACGGCCCAGACUCCUACGGGGGGCAGCAGUGGGGGAUAUUGCACCAUGGGCGGAAGCCUUAUGCAGCAACCCCGCGGGCGGGAUGACGGCCUUCGGGUUUUAAACCGCUUUCCCCUGUGACGAAGCGUGAGUGACGCUAUUGGGUGAAAAGGCACCGCCUAACUACGUG